Molecule: ribosomal RNA, 607 nt
Filed under: Klebsiella quasipneumoniae subsp. similipneumoniae
Lineage: Bacteria; Pseudomonadati; Pseudomonadota; Gammaproteobacteria; Enterobacterales; Enterobacteriaceae
Description: bacterial SSU rRNA
Rfam family: Bacterial small subunit ribosomal RNA
Source: RNAcentral
ACGCGUUAAAUCGACCGCCUGGGGAGUACGGCCGCAAGGUUAAAACUCAAAUGAAUUGACGGGGGCCCGCACAAGCGGUGGAGCAUGUGGUUUAAUUCGAUGCAACGCGAAGAACCUUACCUGGUCUUGACAUCCACAGAACUUAGCAGAGAUGCUUUGGUGCCUUCGGGAACUGUGAGACAGGUGCUGCAUGGCUGUCGUCAGCUCGUGUUGUGAAAUGUUGGGUUAAGUCCCGCAACGAGCGCAACCCUUAUCCUUUGUUGCCAGCGGUUCGGCCGGGAACUCAAAGGAGACUGCCAGUGAUAAACUGGAGGAAGGUGGGGAUGACGUCAAGUCAUCAUGGCCCUUACGACCAGGGCUACACACGUGCUACAAUGGCAUAUACAAAGAGAAGCGACCUCGCGAGAGCAAGCGGACCUCAUAAAGUAUGUCGUAGUCCGGAUUGGAGUCUGCAACUCGACUCCAUGAAGUCGGAAUCGCUAGUAAUCGUAGAUCAGAAUGCUACGGUGAAUACGUUCCCGGGCCUUGUACACACCGCCCGUCACACCAUGGGAGUGGGUUGCAAAAGAAGUAGGUAGCUUAACCUUCGGGAGGGCGCUUACCACUU